Molecule: long non-coding RNA, 534 nt
Organism: Sinocyclocheilus anshuiensis
Lineage: Eukaryota; Metazoa; Chordata; Actinopteri; Cypriniformes; Cyprinidae
Exons: 3
Source: RefSeq, a predicted model, not a curated record
GAGCUUACAGUGAUUCUGCUCGAGCGCCUUCACUUUCUGCCGCCGCUCAACCAAAUUAUCUCAUUUAUUUCCAUAGAAAUCGCAGCGCAAGCCGAUCGGACUUCACAAUCAGCAUCGGAAUAACAUUUCAAAGCGUUUCCCCGCCUCUCUUCCCGAUUUCUGGACUGCGAGACAUGGAUAGAUGGAAAAGUUUGGCUGUUUUUGGUGUCUGUGAGGGAGUUCGAUACGGGCGAUGAGUCCCGUGAAGAGAUUUCACACAUCUGACUGGAAAAACACUAAUUUACUGCGCUCAUCUACACAAUUAACCACUUAUUAAACUAAGCCAGUGGAGAUAUGACUAUAGAAGCGGAUCUCUGUCCCUCACACACACACACACAAGUGCUGGAGGUGUGAUGUUGAGCUGUGUGUGGCAAGACGAGCAGAAUCACUGAUGGCUGGAUGUAGGGGUCCGAUGGUGUGUUAAAGGCGCCAUGGGGAGCUGCUGUAGCUGUCCCGAUAAAGAGAUCAUCCCUGACAACCAUCACAACAAAUUCA